GCCUUUUGUGCCUGCCCAGCCCUCUCCGCGCCGGCUUGAGGCUUGCAGAUCCGUCAGAGGGACCAGAACUGCGGUUAACUCACAGCAUCCUGCGUAAGUCAAGAGCCAGAUGGAGACAGGUGAACACAUUUGAUGAAGCACGCCUAAGGGGCAUUGCUCUGUGUUUCUCCGGCAGCAGCUUGAUAACUGGUAGCAUUGGGACUGCCCUUCUGUGGAGAGUCCCUGAAGACACAUGGAACAGGUCCUUUGUGAGUCGAAGGUUACGUGGUGUCUUCUGCCUGUAUCAGAGAAAACUUAGAGUCUGGAAGAAUUUGCUGCCUCCGUGGUAAGUUCCACAGUGGACUAGGGUGGGUUUCUGGGAUUCCAGGUGUGACAAUGCUCCUCACGCUGAUACUGAACCACACGAGGGGACUCCAUGCGGAGAGGAACACUACUCAGGACCAUUAUGAGUAGAUCACUGAAAUAGGGCCGCCUGAGUUACCAUGAACUGUUUGCAGAUUCUCACCUCAGAAACAAAACCAUUACUUAAAAGUCAGUUCCUUCUUUUCUUUGAAUGAAGGAAUGCUGGACCCUUACAUUCAAGAAAAUAGCCUCGAUGCAUAUUACCUUUAAUAGACUUGUACCGGGAGAAUAAACUUAUCAAAGCUCUGAGUUAUUUAGCCACGAA
This 667-nucleotide long non-coding RNA is filed under the name Fukomys damarensis (Damara mole-rat). RNAcentral describes it as "lncRNA (ENSFDAG00000032948.1)". The record is from RNAcentral. Lineage: Eukaryota; Metazoa; Chordata; Mammalia; Rodentia; Bathyergidae.